RNAcentral lists this unclassified non-coding RNA (363 nucleotides) under Hevea brasiliensis (rubber tree). The record is from RNAcentral. Lineage: Eukaryota; Viridiplantae; Streptophyta; Magnoliopsida; Malpighiales; Euphorbiaceae.
AACACCAACAGUAACCUCAGUAAUACCAUCACUACUGGGGAAAGGGAUGUGAAUAUCGAGAGCACAUAGAAUUCGAUCUUCUUGAGACUUGCGGCGACCUUGAUGCAAGGCAGUUUGGCACCUAGCAUUCGGCAAUUUCGACCAUUGCUCAGAACCAUAUUCUGGUAGCUUCCAGCGAGGGCAUUUAGGAGAUUUAAACACGGCAGGUGCACCACCUUCUUUAUAUACCGUCAAACAUUUCGAUGAUUCUCCGUAAGUACAUCUACUCACGCAAAGAACAAACCCUAACACAAACCCUAGAAAUUCGCAUAAAUUCAUCCUCUUCUCCAGUAUGUCAUCAUUCUCUGAUCAUUGGGAAUUGAA